Molecule: unclassified non-coding RNA, 345 nt
Filed under: soil metagenome
Description: partial contains 5.8S ribosomal RNA, internal transcribed spacer 2, and large subunit ribosomal RNA
Rfam family: 5.8S ribosomal RNA (bases 1-120)
Source: RNAcentral
GAUGAAGAACGUAGCGAAAUGCGAUAAGUAAUGUGAAUUGCAGAAUUCAGUGAAUCAUCGAGUCUUUGAACGCACAUUGCGCCCCCUGGUAUUCCGGGGGGCAUGCCUGUCCGAGCGUCAUUGCUGCCCUCAAGCACGGCUUGUGUGUUGGGCCUCCGUCCUCCUCCCGGGGGACGGGCCCGAAAGGCAGCGGCGGCACCGCGUCCGGUCCUCGAGCGUAUGGGGCUUCGUCACCCGCUCUUGUAGGCCCGGCCGGCGCUUGCCGACACAUCAAUCUUUUUUCCAGGUUGACCUCGGAUCAGGUAGGGAUACCCGCUGAACUUAAGUAUAUCAAUAAGCGGAGGA